GACCUCGGAUCAGGUAGGAUUCCCGCUCGGG
This 31-nucleotide ribosomal RNA is filed under the name Cordyceps gunnii. Its description in RNAcentral is "partial 28S ribosomal RNA". The record is from RNAcentral. Lineage: Eukaryota; Fungi; Ascomycota; Sordariomycetes; Hypocreales; Cordycipitaceae.